CGGGCGUAAACAUAAUCACCAGGUGUGCUGGGACCAAGUCUCACACAUAUGAUGAAUCAUGGCACAGGAUCGAAUGUCACAUCUUUACUACAUAACAGGAGUUCUAUACAAAAUAAUUAAGUAUUUACAUUAUAAGGAGACAACGGUCCAGCAACCCAAAGUUGACUGGGAGACGACGACCUAGACCUCUCACGAACUCGCACAGCAUCCUUCAAGCGCCUCGUCCUGUGGUACCUGUUCUUGACCUGUGGGGGGGUGUGAGACAGCAAGAGUGAGCUCACAUACGUUCAUCGCUCAACAAGUUGUGGGGAAUAAUGUGCAUGAACUCGCCAAAGGUGGGAGCUCACGUGAAGUGUAAGGCUUACCAACGGAGAUGGUUGAAGCUGAGCAUUGCUUUUAAAGUUGGUCAAAAUUUUAUUAGCAAUUACUAAGUAUAAGUAAAUACCAACUCAAUUAAGUAGUAGAACAGAAGUAACAACAUCACCUGCGAUGCAAUGCAUAUGACAAAUUGAAUUUAAGUUCCAUAGAUUAAUCAUGUGAGGGUCCGAGCCGCUCAUGACCGUGAGCAUGGCUAGUAUACCAGUUUUACACUCUGCAGAGGUUGCGCAUCUUUACCCACAAGUCAUGUUACCCAUCUGCCAAGGGAUCGCGACUUCCCAUACACCUCUACCGAGGAGGCGAGGCAGGGUAACACUACGAGGCCUUUACAAAGUUCCACUAGCUUCAGAAAACCUGCUACAGUUUAUAGGAAGCUCCAAUGCAGGAAUCCCUUGCAGGACCGCCAUCGUAGCAAAAUCCUCCCGAGGGCCUCCCUACACUGACCACUCCCCUACUGCCCUUGCCCCUUUCGGGUAAGGUAGUCCUCCACUAGCUUUCCUAAUUAAUCAGCCAAGGGCGUCCCAUUAAACCCUUAUGGUAGCACUGUUUUCCCGGGUGGUCGCUCCAUGUUCCAAUUAACAUAAUGAUCUUAUCAUGAACGAUAAAUAACAACGGAUAACAAAAGUAUAAUCAUGAGUAAUGUAUCUUCAUACCCAAAACCACAUAAAGCACUAGCAAGUACUACCCAAAAAGUUCAGUGGUAACAAGGUACAAAGAUAAUCAAACUAGGGUAACCUAUUGGGUCCCAUCAAAAUUAACCUAUGCAGAUCAUUAUGAUUAAUCAGAACAUGGCUGGGUAAAAAGAAGUGAUCAAGGGCACAACUUGCCUGGGACUUGAGAUUCCAGAUACCAACUUGCUUUUCAGAUGACACGUGUCCUCGCGCUAGUCGUAGCAAUACAAGCAAACAUGGUAUAGAUAAAAUUAACAUCACACCAAACAUAAGAACAAACUGAGUAAUAAUGAUCUACGCGCUGCUACGAGACUAACGCAACUUGAACGGAUCAAAUCAGAGUUAAAACGGAGGAGUUAUGAUUUUCUGAAGAUUAUAUGUGUUUUGUACAAGAUUAAAUAGGAUAUAAAUUUUAAUGUGACAUUCAUGUCAAAACAGUGGUACUAAUUGAUAAACAAUAUUAUUAUAAAAUUAUAGAAACUAGAAUGGAUCAAUUUGGAGUUCAUAUGAAGUUUCUGUGAUUUAUACAACUUCUAGCAAUUAUUUUUGUAUUAAAAUCAAUUUCUAAAAUUAAAUAACUGAAUUCUCAGAGCUGUGGACUGGGCGCACAAAAUCUAGACAACCCGGGGGCCGCUACAUGAAUUUUCCUAAGACUCAGAGGUAUUCCGCGAGGACGGCGGGUUGUUUUUAGGAAAAUCUGGGGGCUCUUAUGCAUAAUAGGCACGGCGAAGGGGUAUCCUUUCAUCUAGGCCGCGCGAUCUGAUUUCAACGAUCCAGAUUAUAAUCCGAGCCCCGCGAACCGGUACAGGCUCACAACCGUUGGAUCCGAGAUCCACGGCACAGAUCACUUCCAUCCGAACGCUGCUGAACUUCUAAUCGUGGCCGCCCGAUCUUCAUCUAAUGGACCGGAUCAACUCACGCGAAGGGAUACAUGAAUUCUAUUCACAGCCGCAUGAUACCGGAUCAACGACCCAGCACCAUCUCCUUCCUCUCGUCGCUUAGAUCGACGGCCAAGCGCGGCGGCAGUACACACCGGUGAGUCCCAGCCCGGUGCACCGGUGAACUACCCAUGUGCCUACUAGCAAAACACGACACAGAGAACAGAGGGAAUCACCCAGCUGGGAGUUCUUACCUAGACUCGGCAGGUGGCAGGACUGCCCACACGCUACGGUGCUGGCUCACUACAACAGGUUCGACCGGGGCCCAGGACCUUCUCCGCGCUCGAGAGCGACGCAGAUGUUCGCACGAUGCCUCCCUGCACCCCUCUUUCCGACGAACACGGCGACACGAACGGAAGCUAGAACUUGGCGUUUGCAUGGAAGGGCUAUGGCAGCUACCGGAUAGGAGAUGCCUCUGUUCCUAUUUAUAACCCAAAGAAGGUGGGCUGGCGUCUGGCUGGCAAGCCCGACGGUUACGGAGGUGAGUCUGUUACGAUCUUGACGGCACGAUUUUGUUAAGUCAUCCCCACAAGCAGCGUCACGGGAGAUACCAGGAUGACUCCGUCCAUGACGUCAAUAUAACGUAUACUACGGCUGAUACAAUAAAAUUUUAAAUAAAUAAUAUAAAUGAAUAAAAAAACAAGGCUACAAGGAUCUGGGUGUGGGCCGCCGUAUGAGAAACAUGGAAAUGAGUGGGCCGACACCACCAUACGUGUGGGUGAGUUUUCUAUUUUUUUCUACUCUUGUUUUCCUAUUUUCACUUUGGAGAUUCAGUUUCAAUCGAAGUUGUGAAUCUCAAAUUUCAUUCAAAUGCAACACAUAAAAUACCAGCAUGAAUGCAAAAGUAUAUUUUAUAUAUAACAUAUAUUUGUUUUAUUAUUUUUUUGUUCUUUUAUUCAUGAUUCUAAUUAUGAAAUAGAGAAUGGUUCACAUCUCAUGAAUUUUUAGGGAAAUAUAAUGUAUACUGUAGAUUAUAUAUUAAGAUAUAGUUUAAUCAUAAUUCUUCUAAUUUCACUCCAAGAAUAAUUUAGUUUAUCUGGUAUCUUUUUAUUUUAGUAAAAAAAAUAUAUUAAUUUUUUUUGGAGUAGUAACUUUUGAAAUUAUGAAUGUUCUCAAGGAAAGGUGUUUUGAUUUUAAAACCCCCGAGAGGAUUUUCCUUCUUUUCAGAGGAUUGAACUUUAGGGUGUUACAAAUCCUACCCCCCUUAACAAGAAUCUCGUCCUCGAGAUUAGUAAGAAAAGGGAUACAAAAGGAUUGGUGUGUAAUUCAUCUUUUAGUCUAUAAUUGGUUCAAAAAUCCAGAGUCUCAUUUUUUAGUCAAUAGUGGGCGAUUGGCAGACAUAGGUAUCCAGUUACUUAUUAUGUAGGAUAAAAGAUGUCUUUGAAGCAUAGAUAGGUUUGGGUAAGAAAGAGUAGGGUAAGGAAAGACUCCAUCCAAGAUUGUGGCUCUUGAUUCUUUUGAAGAUCUGGCUUGAAUCUUAUCCUUCCUUGAUUUGAUGAGGUCGAUCAUCUUCGAUUUUCGUUUUUGAAGUUGUUAUCCGAAUUAGGGACAUGUAGUUAAAAUAAAGUAGUAGGUGGAGCAGCUAGUUUAGUAGGUGGCUAUGAGUUAAAUGAGAUUAGUCGGAAUCUGGUUUGGAUGUUUUGCUUCUGAAUGGUUUGGAUAGGUUAUGUAACAUAUUAUGUAGGUCAAGUUAUUGGGUAUGGCCGAGUUGAUCUAAGUUACCAAAUUAGGCUUAAGUGAGUUAGGAGUAUUUCCUUAUAUUUUGUAACAGCAUUAAGUAACUCAAUCUAGCUUAGAUCAUUAUAGAUUAGAUAGAAUCCAGAUUAGGUUGGUAUGACUAGAUUAAACUAAUUAAGAUUAGAUAGAUCUACCAGGGUGGGAUAAAUAUUAUUAGGAUAUGCUAGAAUCUUUUAAGAAGGAUGGACAUUGUUUAGGCUAGAUAUUUUAAUGAGUGAUAAUCUAAGUUGAUUAGUUAUCUUAUGAAUUUUUUUAUUUAUAUUUAUGCCUAUAUGUAUAUGCAGAUGUAAUUGUGGACAUUACUCCACAACUCAUCACACUCAAUCAAAGAUCCAAAUCAGACAAGUAUCAUAAGAACAAACAUUCAAGUGCAUAGAUACACACAUAAAAAUAAUAUUUUUGUUUUUGUUCCUAAGAGUAGGUCUCCUAUUCCUAAAGGUCACUUUAGGUACAGGAUUUCAAAGUGUGAAAUCCACAGUUGUCUUUAGAAGGAAAAGGUAAGAAUAAUCAGAGUAAAGCGGAAAUAGAUGAGAAAAGAUUAAGAUAAGUUUAGAAAAGGAUCAGAGUAGCAAAGGUAAGUAGAUAAUGAUUGUCCAGUUCUAUCUAGGUUUUGUCCUACAGUCAACAUUCCUCUGAUACCACUUCUGUCACACCCGGAUUUUAGGGGUCCAAAGCCCGGGCGUAAACAUAAUCACCAGGUGUGCUGGGACCAAGUCUCACACAUAUGAUGAAUCAUGGCACAGGAUCGAAUGUCACAUCUUUACUACAUAACAGGAGUUCUAUACAAAAUAAUUAAGUAUUUACAUUAUAAGGAGACAACGGUCCAGCAACCCAAAGUUGGCUGGGAGACGACGACCUAGACCUCUCACGAACUCGCACAGCAUCCUUCAAGCGCCUCGUCCUGUGGUACCUGUUCUUGACCUGUGGGGGGGUGUGAGACAGCAAGAGUGAGCUCACAUACGUUCAUCGCUCAACAAGUUGUGGGGAAUAAUGUGCAUGAACUCGCCAAAGGUGGGAGCUCACGUGAAGUGUAAGGCUUACCAACGGAGAUGGUUGAAGCUGAGCAUUGCUUUUAAAGUUGGUCAAAAUUUUAUUAGCAAUUACUAAGUAUAAGUAAAUACCAACCCAAUUAAGUAGUAGAACAGAAGUAACAACAUCACCUGUGAUGCAAUGCAUAUGACAAAUUGAAUUUAAGUUCCAUAGAUUAAUCAUGUGAGGGUCCGAGCCGCUCAUGACCGUGAGCACGGCUAGUAUACCAGUUUUACACUCUGCAGAGGUUGCGCAUCUUUACCCACAAGUCAUGUUACCCAUCUGCCAAGGGAUCGCGACUUCCCAUACACCUCUACCAAGGAGGCGAGGCAGGGUAACACUACGAGGCCUUUACAAAGUUCCACUAGCUUCAGAAAACCCGCUACAGUUUAUAGGAAGCUCCAAUGCAGGAAUCCCUUGCAGGACCGCCAUCGCAGCAAAAUCCUCCCGAGGGCCUCCCUACACUGACCACUCCCCUACUGCCCUUGCCCCUUUCGGGUAAGGUAGUCCUCCACUAGCUUUCCUAAUUAAUCAGCCAAGGGCGUCCCAUUAAACCCUUGUGGUAGCACUGUUUUCCCGGGUGGUCGCUCCAUGUUCCAAUUAACAUAAUGAUCUUAUCAUGAACGAUAAAUAACAACGGAUAACAAAAGUAUAAUCAUGAGUAAUGUAUCUUCAUACCCAAAACCACAUAAAGCACUAGCAAGUACUACCCAAAAAGUUCAGUGGUAACAAGGUAUAAAGAUAAUCAAACUAGGGUAACCUAUUGGGUCCCAUCAAAAUUAACCUAUGCAGAUCAUUAUGAUUAAUCAGAACAUGGCUGGGUAAAAAGAAGUGAUCAAGGGCACAACUUGCCUGGGACUUGAGAUUCCAGGUACCAACUUGCUUUUCAGAUGACACGUGUCCUCGCGCUAGUCGUAGCAAUACAAGCAAACAUGGUAUAGAUAAAAUUAACAUCACACCAAACAUAAGAACAAACUGAGUAAUAAUGAUCUACGCGCUGCUACGAGACUAACGUAACUUGAACGGAUCAAAUCAGAGUUAAAACGGAGGAGUUAUGAUUUUCUGAAGAUUAUAUGUGUUUUGUACAAGAUUAAAUAGGAUAUAAAUUUUAAUGUGACAUUCAUGUCAAAACAGUGGUACUAAUUGAUAAACAAUAUUAUUAUAAAAUUAUAGAAACUAGAAUGGAUCAAUUUGGAGUUCAUAUGAAGUUUCUGUGAUUUAUACAACUUCUAGCAAUUAUUUUUGUAUUAAAAUCAAUUUCUAAAAUUAAAUAACUGAAUUCUCAGAGCUGUGGACUGGGCGCACAAAAUCUAGACAACCCGGGGGCCGCUACAUGAAUUUUCCUAAGACUCAGAGGUAUUCCGCGAGGACGGCGGGUUGUUUUUAGGAAAAUCUGGGGGCUCUUAUGCAUAAUAGGCACGGCGAAGGGGUAUCCUUUCAUCUAGGCCGCGCGAUCUGAUUUCAACGAUCCAGAUUAUAAUCCGAGCCCCGCGAACCGGUACAGGCUCACAACCGUUGGAUCCGAGAUCCACGGCACAGAUCACUUCCAUCCGAACGCUGCUGAACUUCUAAUCGUGGCCGCCCGAUCUUCAUCUAAUGGACCGGAUCAACUCACGCGAAGGGAUACAUGAAUUCUAUUCACAGCCGCAUGAUACCGGAUCAACGACCCAGCACCAUCUCCUUCCUCUCGUCGCUCAGACCGACGGCCAAGCGCGGCGGCAGUACACACCGGUGAGUCCCAGCCCGGUGCACCGGUGAACUACCCAUGUGCCUACUAGCAAAACACGACACAGAGAACAGAGGGAAUCACCCAGCUGGGAGUUCUUACCUGGACUCGGCAGGUGGCAGGACUGCCCACGCGCUACGGUGCUGGCUCACUACAACAGGUUCGACCGGGGCCCAGGACCUUCUCCGC
Molecule: long non-coding RNA, 6668 nt
Filed under: Zea mays
Lineage: Eukaryota; Viridiplantae; Streptophyta; Magnoliopsida; Poales; Poaceae
Description: long non-coding RNA (ZMAY_LNC003537)
Source: RNAcentral